CCUGGGUUGAUGGUACCGCGCACGCCUGUAGUCCCAGCUGCCGGGGAGGCUGAGCCCGACGGAUCGCUUGAGCCCAGGAGUUCUGGGCUGCUGUGCGCUGUGCCGAGUGGGUGUCCAAGCUAAGGCCUCCAUUAAUAUGGUGACCCGCGGGGAGCUGCGGGACACCAGGUUGACUAAGAAGGAGUUCAAGCCGCUUCGGAGGUGAUCGGCACAG
RNAcentral lists this small RNA (214 nucleotides) under Cyanoderma ruficeps (rufous-capped babbler). Its description in RNAcentral is "Metazoan signal recognition particle RNA (ENSCRFG00000007891.1)". It matches the Rfam family "Metazoan signal recognition particle RNA", at positions 1 to 215 of the family's 299-position model. Rfam says of the family: The signal recognition particle (SRP) is a universally conserved ribonucleoprotein. The record is from Rfam by way of RNAcentral. Lineage: Eukaryota; Metazoa; Chordata; Aves; Passeriformes; Timaliidae.